Molecule: non-coding RNA, 115 nt
Organism: Triticum aestivum (bread wheat)
Lineage: Eukaryota; Viridiplantae; Streptophyta; Magnoliopsida; Poales; Poaceae
Source: Rfam
GUAUUACUCCCUCCUAUCCAUCUUAGUUGUCGCUGAAAUGGAUGUAUCUAGACGUAUUUCAGUGCUAGAUACAUCCGUUUCAGCGACAACUAAUUUGGAUCGGAGGGAGUACGUA